Molecule: ribosomal RNA, 872 nt
Filed under: uncultured Bacteroidota bacterium
Lineage: Bacteria; Pseudomonadati; Bacteroidota
Description: bacterial SSU rRNA
Rfam family: Bacterial small subunit ribosomal RNA
Source: RNAcentral
GGAUCCAGACUUUGAUUCUGGCUCAGGAUGAACGCUAGCUACAGGCUUAACACAUGCAAGUCGAGGGGAAACGACAUCGAAAGCUUGCUUUUGAUGGGCGUCGACCGGCGCACGGGUGAGUAACGCGUAUCCAACCUGCCCACCACUUGGGGAUAACCUUGCGAAAGUAGACUAAUACCCAAUGAUAUCUCUAGAAGACAUCUGAAAGGGAUUAAAGAUUUAUCGGUGAUGGAUGGGGAUGCGUCUGAUUAGCUUGUUGGCGGGGUAACGGCCCACCAAGGCAACGAUCAGUAGGGGUUCUGAGAGGAAGGUCCCCCACAUUGGAACUGAGACACGGUCCAAACUCCUACGGGAGGCAGCAGUGAGGAAUAUUGGUCAAUGGGCGAGAGCCUGAACCAGCCAAGUAGCGUGCAGAAUGACGGCCCUAUGGGUUGUAAACUGCUUUUAUAAGGGAAUAAAGUGAGUCUCGUGAGACUUUUUGCAUGUACCUUAUGAAUAAGGACCGGCUAAUUCCGUGCCAGCAGCCGCGGUAAUACGGAAGGUCCGGGCGUUAUCCGGAUUUAUUGGGUUUAAAGGGAGCGUAGGCCGGAGAUUAAGCGUGUUGCGAAAUGUAGACGCUCAACGUCUGCACUGCAGCGCGAACUGGUUUCCUUGAGUACGCACAAAGUGGGCGGAAUUCGUGGUGUAGCGGUGAAAUGCUUAGAUAUCACGAAGAACUCCGAUUGCGAAGGCAGCUCACUGGAGCGCAACUGACGCUGAAGCUCGAAAGUGCGGGUAUCGAACAGGAUUAGAUACCCUGGUAGUCCGCACGGUAAACGAUGGAUGCCCGCUGUUGGUCUGAAUAGGUCAGCGGCCAAGCGAAAGCAUUAAGC